RNAcentral lists this ribosomal RNA (120 nucleotides) under uncultured bacterium. RNAcentral describes it as "partial 16S ribosomal RNA". It matches the Rfam family "Bacterial small subunit ribosomal RNA", at positions 215 to 334 of the family's 1533-position model. The record is from RNAcentral.
CCGCGCCGGGAGGGGCCUGCGGCCUAUCAGCUAGACGGUGGGGUAACGGCUCACCGUGGCGAUGACGGGUAGCUGGUCUGAGAGGACGAUCAGCCACACGGGGACUGAGACACGGCCCCG